Molecule: unclassified non-coding RNA, 361 nt
Filed under: Hevea brasiliensis (rubber tree)
Lineage: Eukaryota; Viridiplantae; Streptophyta; Magnoliopsida; Malpighiales; Euphorbiaceae
Source: RNAcentral
GUACUUCUCAUAUUCUAUCAAAACCAAGUCUGUUUUAUCCAGGUGGGACUUGGACACUCUAGGACAAAUUACAGUGUUCACUCUGCAACAGAGCGAUAAUUCUAGUACUUGGAUAUUUGAAACUAGUGGUCCAUGCAAGUACAAUUCCAAGAAUUCAACCGCAGUUUGCCUAACUGAAAAGCCUACUAAUUGCAGGAAUGGUUCUGAGAUUUUCAUGCCGAAAAGAGGGUAUAUGGAUUUCAAUGAAUAUAAUACAUAUUUUGAUUCUGAUAUGAGCUCUACUCUUAGUGAUUGUCAUGCCAAAUGCUGGAAAAAUUGUACUUGUGUGGCCUAUAACUCUGUAUCUGGUGAUGGAAUUGGA